Molecule: ribosomal RNA, 279 nt
Filed under: uncultured bacterium
Lineage: Bacteria
Description: partial 16S ribosomal RNA
Rfam family: Bacterial small subunit ribosomal RNA
Source: RNAcentral
UGCCAGCCGCCGCGGUAAUACGGAGGGGGUUAGCGUUGUUCGGAAUUACUGGGCGUAAAGCGCACGUAGGCGGACUGGAAAGUUGGGGGUGAAAUCCCAGGGCUCAACCCUGGAACUGCCUCCAAAACUAUCAGUCUAGAGUUCGAGAGAGGUGAGUGGAAUUCCGAGUGUAGAGGUGAAAUUCGUAGAUAUUAGGAAGAACACCAGUGGCGAAGGCGGCUUUCUAGUUUAUUCCUGACGCUAAGGCGCGAAAGCAAGGGGAGCGAACAGGAUUAGAUA